Molecule: long non-coding RNA, 714 nt
Filed under: Chinchilla lanigera (long-tailed chinchilla)
Lineage: Eukaryota; Metazoa; Chordata; Mammalia; Rodentia; Chinchillidae
Description: lncRNA (ENSCLAG00000027471.1)
Source: RNAcentral
GUAGCUCAGUGCAAAGACCCUGAGUUCAAUCCUCAGUAACAUGCACACGCCCACACACUCAAACACACCUGGCUUUCCACACUGUGUGCAAAUGAGGCACGCCCUGUUCCCCUCACACCCCAUCCCCCGGCUAGACGUCCUGGCCCCUACCCAGCUGCAUGCCAACCGAGCCCAGCCAGCUGGGUGCUGUUCGCUGGUCCUGUCCCUGCCUCUGCUGGAAUUGAGGAGAGGCAGGGGUCACCCUGCUCCCCAGUUGUACCCCAGACUACACAGAUCACACCUGGCUUCUCGAAGACUCAGAGUGAGAGGGGGAGGCUGGUAGUGCUCGCCUUGGGGUGUGAGGUACCCAGGGCCAGGGCAUCCUGUAUAGAAACACAGGUAUCUGCUCUCCAGCAUCUGUAUUUGGGGCCGAAGCCUGGUCAGUAUUGUAAAACCUCUGAAUUCUCCAGCUGUUCCCUGGUGGCGUGCUUGGGGAGGGGGUGGCAGGAGUCCAGAAGGGGCAUUCUGAGGAUCCUCCCUGCAGGAACCCAACCAGGCAGCACUGCCUCAGGGAUGGGCAGGAAGAAGCCACUUUCUGUUUGUAAGCAGCGUCCGGUAGGUAACCUGCUGGCAUUCUUCCUUCUUGCUGCUCUCCUUGGGUUUUGCCCCCUUUGGCAGGUAAGUGUCCUGGGACAGGAGGACACAGGAUUGUACUCUCUAGUCUUGCUGGGCUGA